CCCUGUCAGACUUCAUCAGCAGUCUUGUGAAGGCAGAAUGAAAUCACUUCUAUUGACCCACUGGCAUAUUUAUAGGCUCCUUCUUUUUUGCUGAGUAUGGCAGUUAUCACCUUUCCAUCCCCAUGUUGUGUUUAUUCAGCAGAAAGCUAAAUCACAUCUGUGCACAAGUGGAACAUUAAUCAGUAAACACUGAUCAGCACCAUCUAGAGAACAUCAAAUGGAUUAAAACAGGACAAAAGAUUGGACUUGCCCUUGAAUGACACUAUUUCAAGUGAUUUUCAAGCUUCAUUUCUGUUUGUAAAAAGCUUUAGAUAUUUCCUUAUAAAGGUAAGCUAGAAAUCUAAGAUAAGCCUUUAUUUAUGACAUCUGAAAUUCUUUCAAAUACAAUAGCCUAGUAAGUAUGAAUUAACA
RNAcentral lists this long non-coding RNA (411 nucleotides) under Anser brachyrhynchus (Pink-footed goose). RNAcentral describes it as "lncRNA (ENSABRG00000011896.1)". Lineage: Eukaryota; Metazoa; Chordata; Aves; Anseriformes; Anatidae. The record is from RNAcentral.